AGAACACACAGUGGGCCUCAGGAGCACCGGAAUCAGCGCGAAAACGCAGAAUGCAAACCGUACUUUGCACCAUUAUUUGCAACUUGACAGUGACCGCCGCCGUCACUGCAUGUUUAAGGGAACCCGGAGCUGUUUCCAACCCAGGUCUGACGUCCUUCACAGUGCUUUGUGUGAACUGGCAGGGGGAGAAACGACGGCUGGGGAACGAACGGGGUUAUUCGUCCCAUCAAUGGCCUCAGAAGCAUCCUUAUCACCUGCUUCCAGAGCUCCCGACCCAAAUUUCCUCCUCAAGACCGACGCGGCCGCGACGCUGCAAAAGCUCGUCCCGGCCUCACCUGGCUCGCGGCCGGCGGUCCCCCUUGAAGGCGGCGCAGCAGGAUCGGGGUCUGCCCGCCUGGGGCGUUUGGCUUUUGUCCCGCGCCGAGGUCCGGCCCAGGAGUGCGCUUGGGAGCUCCCGGCGCGGCCUCGGGGACAAAGGCCCGCGGAGCCGACGUGCAGCAGAGUUCACCCAGGCCCGUCCGACCAGAAAACGAAGAACGCCCGGAGGCGGGAGGCCGGAGGCAGGCUGCUGGCUGGAGAACCGACGGCAACGACGGCGCAAAGCCGGCGCGGAAAGGGCAGGCGCAGGACCCACCCUGACGCCGCCUCUCCCAGCCGGCUCUCCUGACCCCCCAAGCCCCGCAGCUACGGCGGCCCCACAGCCUGAGCAAAGGCCUCACCUCAGCCGCGGACAAUGGCGGCUGCUUCCCCGGCGUCGACCGGAGCGCGCCGCGGGGUCUGCUGGGAGCUGUAGUUCCAGGCGGGCACUUCCGGCGUCGGGCAGCGGCGCCGCCAUGACAGGUUCCUGGGCCGCGCCGCCUCGCCCUGCCUGGGCGGGGUUGGGACCUUUCUGGCACCUGCGUCGAAGCCGGCGGCAGGAUGGACUUUGUUGUCCCGGUCCCAGACCACCCUCCUCCACCGUCGCCUCCCACUGCAAAAAGGCCUGGAUAAGGAACCUAAUUCGAGCUACCCUUCUCUGUGAAGCUCGACGGCUGAGAACGUCAGGGCUCGUUCCCAAGUCUCUUUCCAGAGGCCAGGCUUUAUGGGAGCAUGGGUUACCAGCGACGCACCCUGUGAGGAUGCAGUGUCCAAGGCACCAUCUUGAACUCAUCAUCGCCAAAUAUGUGAGCACCUUGAUGUUGGACUUCCCAACCUCCAGACCGUAAGGCAGUACAUUUCUUUGUAAAUUACGCAGUCUCAGCUAUUCUGUUACAGCAGCACAAAUGGACUAAGACAACCCCCGAGAUAGGAAGGGGUAAGGUAAAUGCAAUGAGAGUUGGGGUUUUCGAUCUUAGUCCAGUAAAGGAGCUGGAACUGUUCUGUAUAAACAAAGGGCAAGGUAAUUGCUACAUAGAUUCUUUUCUUAUUAUUGCUGAUUCUUAUCCUAAAAUAAAGGACAUUGCCACUACACAUCCUCUAGAAUGACCAAAAAUAAAAAUACAGCAUCAAAUGGGACGACAUGGUGCCAACUGGAAUUCUCAUACCCUGCUGAUGGGAGUAUAAUGUGGUACAGUCACUUUGGAAAAAAGUUUGACAAUUUCUUAUAAAAUUAUACAUAAACCUGUACUAUGACCUAGAGAUUCUACUCCUGUUUGUUCAAAAGAAAGGCAAACAUCUGUCCACUAAAAGAUAUGUACAAGAAUGCUCACAGUGGCAUUAUUUAUGACGGUCCAAACCAGGAGAUAAUCCAAAUGUCUGUAACCAAGAGAAUGGAUAAAGAAAUUUUGAUACGUCAAUUUAAUGGAUUACUACUUAGCAAUAAAAAUAAUUAGCCAUGCUGGGCGCGGUGGCUUAUGCCUGUAAUCCCAGCACUUUGGGAGGCUGAGGCAGGUGGAUCACCUGAGGUUGGGAGUUCAAGACCAGCCUGACCAACAUGGAGAACCCCCGUCUCUACUAAAAUACAAAAUUAGCCGGGGUGGUGGCGCAUGCCUGUAAUCCCAGCUACUCGGGAGGCUGAGGCAGGAGAAUCACUUGAACCCGGGAGGUGGAGGUUGCAUUGAGCCGAGAUUGCGCCAUUGCACUCCAGCAUGGGCAAAAAGAGCAAAACUCCGUCUCAAAAAAAUAAAUAAAUAAUAAUUAGCCACAUAUCCACACAACAAUAUUGCAUUAUCACAGGUAUAGUGAUAAAUACUGUAUGAUUCCAUUUAUAUGAAGUUCAAGAACAGGCAAGUAAUCCAUGAUGAAAGAAGUACUUACCUCUGGGGGUGGCAGCAUUGACUAAAGAGGUACAAGGGAGUCUUCUGGGGCCUGGAAAUGUUCUAUAUCUUGAUCUGGGUGGUGGUUACACAGGUAUACGCGUGUUAAGAAAUCAUCAGGCUGUAUACUUAGUGUACUGUAAUGGCAUUACACUGUCUUUCAAUUAAAAUGUGAAAGAAAAAACGGGGGUGUCUUUUGCUUCCACAUUUGUAGCCCCAGCUUCUGUAUCUCCUGCGUGAUAAUGGUUGGAUGAAUUAAAAGGUAGGAGGAAUAGAAGAGGAGAAAAGCAAUAGGAAGAGGAAGGCUGGAAGAAAAGCCCAGCUCCACUGUCUCACUUGGGUGUCACUGGGUACUGGGGAAUUUGGAAGCACUAGGGAACAGAGAGGAAGGUGCUCCCUUAGGCUUCCACUUCUCAGCCCAGUAGUGAGAGGCUAUGAAGCUGUUGCCCCCUGGUGGGGGACAAGUGAGACCAGUGAGAGAGGGUUUUUGCCUUAGAAUUGCCCCUUCCCUGGAGACAGCAGCAAGAUGAAGGCCUCUCAAGAAGUGCUUCAUCCUCUGGAAACCAGCGGAGGAAAUGACUUUCCCAAGAGAAGGAUCAUACAUCACUCAAUCAUCAGCAAACAUUUAUGAAGCACCUGCUCUGUGCCAGACCCUAAAGUGAAAAAAAACAAACACUGCACUUACGGAAGCACGAGAUAAACAAUAAACAUAAGUAAAUUAAAGAGUAGUUAGAAGGCAACAACUUUGGAAGAAAGAAAAAAGAGUAGGUGAUGUAGUGCCCAGAUGGGAAGGGCAAGUUGCCGUAUAAAAUUGGGUGCUAAGAGUGAGUCAGAGUCACCUCAUUGAGGUGACAUCUGAACAAGGACUGGAAAGAAGGGAUGCAGAUGGCUGGGCGCGGUGCCUCACGCCUGUAAUCCCAGCACUUUGGGAGGCCAAGGCGGGCGGAUCACAAGGUCAGGAGAUCAAGACCAUCUUGGCUAACAUGGUGAAACCCCAUCUCUACUAAAAUCCAAAAAAUUAGCCAGGCGUGGUGACGGGCUCCUGUAGUCCCAGCUACUCGGGAGGCUGAGGCAGGAGAAUGGCGUGAACCUGGGAGACGGAGCUUGCAGUGAGCCGAGAUCGCGCCACUGCACUCUAGCCUAGGCAACAGAGCAAGACUCCGUCUAAAUAAAUAAAUAAAUAAAAAUAAGAGAUGCAGACAUCGGAGGGAAGAGCUAGAACAAAAGCCCUGGUGUGAGGGCCUGCCUAGUCAGCUGCGGGAACAACAGUGGUCAUAGAGGCAAUAAGGGGGCCAGAUGGUAGAGAAAGUUGAAGGCAUCAUGAGGGCUCUGGCAGGGUUCUGAGUAGAGCAUUGAUGAGCUCUAGCCUCUGUAUGGAGAGUAACCAAGGAAAGCAGUAGAGUCAUGUGUGAAACCAAUGUAGUAAUUAGGUGGAAGAUGAUAGCCGCUCGGAUCAGAUUGGUGAUCAGUGGCUGGAUUGCGGACAUGCUGAUACUUUAAAGGUAGAGCCAACAGACCGUAGGUUCAAGGUUUUGCAUCAUAAGGGGCAAUAUAGCCUGUAAUGUUCAGAAGGAGUCAAGAAAUAAAGGAGGCCUCUCAAUACAGAGCUAUUCACCAAGGGCCUUGAUGGGGAGGAAGUAAGUUGCAAGUGUGUGGAGAUACUGCUCCCUUCUGGCCCAAGCUCCCUCCCACUCCAGUUACCCAGUGUUGCGGGCAGCACCCUAUUCUCUUCUGGGAGGUAGCGGAGGCAGAGCCACACCAUCAUUUUGGAUGCACCUAUUAUGGGAGGCUGGAGUGCAAUGGUGCCAUCUUGGCUCACUACAACCUCCGCCUCCCAGGUUCAAGGGAUUCUGCCUCAGCCUCCUGAGUAACUGGGGUUACAGGCGCGCGAUACCACGCCUGGCUAAUUUUUCUAUUUUUAGUAGAGAUGGGGUUUCGCCAUGUUGGCCACGCUGGUCUUAAACUCCUGACCUCAAGUGAUCCGCCCGCCUUGGUCUUCCAAAGUGCUGGGAUUACAGGUGUGAGUCACCGUGCCCAGCCUGGACUUGCCUUUUACCUCAUCCGUGGUGUCUUUUGAAGAAAAAGAUUCUUUAGAAAUGUUUUUUCUUUCAUAGCUUGUGUUUUAUGUAUUACUUUCAAGAUCCCAACUAGAUCUAGGUCCUAAAAAUAGUAUCCUACCUAUUGUUUUUUUAAUCAACUUAAUUGUGGUAUAAUUGCACACUGCAGAUAAACUGCACAUGUUUGAAGUGAGUAAUGUAAGUUUUUUUGUCUUGGAGCCCUGAGGUAAACUUUUAUUUCUUAGCUGACAGGACUUCCACACCCAUGCUCCUCUCGGCACCUUUCACCCAGCCCAAGCAGCGGCGGCCCAGUGGUGGAAAAGGUGCCACGGCCAAACGGAUUGGAGACUCACCCCGCAUUCUAGGCCGGAGAAGCGGGCGGGCUUGGGAUGCCGGCAGGAGGCAAUGACUCUCCCCAGGCGCUGCAUCCUGGCUCCGGGGCACAAGCGCCUCUCCGCCCUGACGCUGAUGCUCGUCUGGCUGCCCGUUCUUUGGCAUCAAAAUACCAGACGAUGGUGGCGCACCCUGUGGCCUGGGCUGCCUCACCUCAUUCGGUCCCGCCUAGAAAGACCAGAGGACCAGAAAACCAGAAGCCUGUCAGAGCGACUAGAGGCUGGCUCCAGCCAACAGCCGCGCGCCUCAGCGUCCACGAGGGUUACCUGGGUAACGCGCCGCUUGGGCUCGGCGCCCAGCCGAUGACGUAACCCGCGCUUGCGUAGUGGCGCCGCCCUGAUGUGUAGUCUCCAGGCCGCCCCGAACACCAGCCCAGCGGGUCCUGGACCCCUAGGUCAUGUGGCUACAGUGGAAUCCAGGCUUGGCCGAAUCCAGGACGACCAGGCCAGACCCACCGGCAGUACCUUGCCCGCCCGCUUUAGUCACUUGCUCUAGGUGGAUCUAAACCUCUAGGCCUGGGCGCGGUGGCUCACGCUUGUAAUCCCGGCACUUUAGGAGGGCAAGGCGGCAGAAUCGCUUGAGCCCCCGGCAGCAUGGAGAGGUGGCAGAGGCAGGGCCAUACCAUCAUCUUGGGUGCACCUAUUAUGGGAGGCUGGAGUGCAAUGGUGCCAUCUUGGCUCACUGCAACCUCCGCCCCCCAGGUUCAAGCGAUUCUGCCUCAGCCUCCUGAGUAACUGGGAUCAUAGGCGCACGCUACCACGCCCGGCUAAUUUUUCUAUUUUUAGUAGACAUGGGGUUUCGCCACCCCCGGCAGCAUGGGUAGACAUGGCCCUCCCGCCUGAUCUCUUAAAAAAACUUUAAAUAAUUCGUGGGGGGGGUUACCGCCCACCUGUUUUCCCAGCUACUCCGGAGGCUGCGGUGGAAGGAUCACCUGAGCCCAGGAGGUCAAGACUGCAGUGAGCUAUGAUCCUGCCACUGCACUCCAGCCUGGGCGACAGCGUGAGAUCCUGUCUCCAAAAUAAAUAAAAUUAUGUACAUAUGUAUGUAUAUUUAAUUACAUAUAUUUUGUAUAAUUUGUAUAUAGUUUAUAAUAUAUACAUGUAUGUGUACACAUACAUAAAUAUAUGCGUAAAUAUAUAUAUGCAUAUAUAUAUGUAAUAAAAUAUUAAGAACCCGCCCAGCCGAAGCCACGGGCGCUUUGGGCCCUCGGUUGGCCUCAGCCACUUCAGUCGCGGCCCCGGGGAUGUUGGGGGAACCCUGUCAGGCAGCAAGCGCGUCCUCCAGCCCCGGGCGGCCGGCGGCUGUGCACCCGCCCUCCCUCCCUCCCACGGCGCUCGCCUGCAUGCGUUUUGGCAAAUAUCUAAACCCGCAAAACCAUCACUAGCUCUGGUUUCCCAAGAUCCUUGAAGCCCCUCCGUUCAGCAUUCCACGCCCCUCUCUGCCCUGCUUUCAAACCACCGCCAAUCUGCUUUCUGUUAUAUAUACAGAUUAGUUUGGAUUUUCUAACAGUUGUAUAUAAAUGCAGUGACACAUUUGAGUGUACUCUUUUGUGAUCUGGUUUAUUUUACUCAGCAUAAUUAUUUUGAGAUUAUCCAUUUUGUUGCAUAUGUAAGUAGCUCAUUCCUUCUAUUGCUGAGUGGUGUUCCAUCUCAUGGAUGCACCACCAUUGUUUAUCACGCAUCUGUCCGUGGACAUGUAAACUGUUUUCUAUUUGCGGCUGUUAAAAAUAAACUUCUGUGAACAUUCGUGUACAA
Homo sapiens (human) is the source of this 6438-nucleotide long non-coding RNA. Ensembl annotates it as ZNF606 antisense RNA 1. Its record names the gene ZNF606-AS1. NCBI's taxonomy places the organism in Eukaryota, Metazoa, Chordata, Mammalia, Primates, Hominidae. The record is from Ensembl.